AGUCACUGCUAUUGGGAUUCGACUAAGCCAUGCGAGUCGAGAGGGUUCGGCCCUCGGCUGACGACUCAGUAACACGUGGAUAAUCUGCCCUUAGGUGGAGGAUAAUCUCGGGAAACUGAGGAUAAUACUCCAUAGAUCUAGGAUGCUGGAAUGCAUUUAGAUUGAAAGCUCCGGCGCCUAAGGAUGAGUCUGCGGACUAUCAGGUUGUAGUCAGGAUAAAGACCUGACUAGCCUAUGACGGAUACGGGUUGUGAGAGCAAUAACCCGGAGACGAUAUCUGAGACACGAUAUCGGGCCCUACGGGGCGCAGCAGGCGCGAAAACUUCACACUGUGCGAAAGCGCGAUGAGGGAAUCCCAAGUGCUUACUCGUAAGAGUAAGCUGUUUCUUUGUCUAAAAAGCAGAGAGAGUAAGGGCUGGGUAAGACGGGUGCCAGCCGCCGCGGUAAUACCUGCAGCUCAAGUGGUGAUCAUUAUAUUGGGCCUAAAACGUCCGUAGCCGGUUUAGUAAAUGCCUGGGUAAAUCGUGUAGCUUAACUAUACGAAUUCCGGGUAGACUGCUAAACUUGAGACCGGGUGAGGCUAGAGGUACUCCUGGGGUAGAGGUGAAAUUCUGUAAUCCUAGGGGGACCACCAGUGGCGAAGGCAUCUAGCUAGAACGGAUCUGACGGUGAGGGACGAAGCCCUGGGGCGCAAAACCGGAUUAGAUACCCGGGUAGUCCAGGGUGUAAACGCUGCUUGCUUGAUGUUAGUUGGGCUCCGAGCCCAACUAGUGUCGGAGAGAAAUUGUUAAGCAAGCUGCCUGGGAAGUACGGUCGCAAGGCUGAAACUUAAAGGAAUUGGCGGGGGAGCACAAGCAACGGGUGGAGCGUGCGGUUUA
This 878-nucleotide ribosomal RNA is filed under the name uncultured euryarchaeote. RNAcentral's name for it is "bacterial SSU rRNA". It matches the Rfam family "Archaeal small subunit ribosomal RNA", at positions 21 to 904 of the family's 1478-position model. The record is from RNAcentral. Lineage: Archaea; Methanobacteriati; Methanobacteriota.